UCCCAGCCCUAAUGGCACUGGCCCUCGGUUGCCAUGGCAGGCUCUUAGUUUGGAAUAAACAGAGUCGUCCUCAUGCUGUCCAGGUAACUGACAUCUAAGUGUCUCCCAGGGAUAGGCUGGAAUUUCAAGAGUCCAGCCCCUAAACCCCCAGGGGAGGACAAAGGAGGGAUCCAGAGCAAAAGCGACAAGGUUGGGAGGAAAACAGAGAACAGGAGUCUGGGUAGAACUGCUCACACCUAGCUCUGCUGAAGGGAACGCGGAGGGCCCUGUGCUGAGGACGAUGCUGGGGUCUGCAGUGUGAGAGCUGUGGAUACGGAACCCAAACCCCUGCUCGAACCCUACCCACCAUUCACAGCGCGAACUGCUCGGCCAAGUCCUAGGUUCCUCACAUGUAAAUAAGGAUAAUAAUACUAAGCUCUCAAUGUCAUUGUCAGAAUCUGAUGGGACAAAUAAAGAACACCAUGGAUCAGGCUUACAAUCAGACACAGAGCUCAGCUAUGCAAAUAGCAAGCAAAACCCAUCCAGGGGUGUGACAGGCCUGUCAGGAGGGUCCCAGGGGUGGGUGGCUUCUCGCCGGCUGCUGGAAGGAGGGGCUGCUAUGUCGUGUUUCUUCAGCAAAUGUUUGCAGUGUAUGGGGCUGGCAGGGAGGGUUGGGCUUCAGCCGCAGGUGCAGGUGGCCAGGAGGCACUGUAUGAGGGAGGGGCACAGCCCCGAGAGGAGGCUCAGAGUGGCAGUCCAUGCCAGCGGACAGAUGAGAGACGUGACCUUUAUUCAGAAUGUGAUGGGAAGCUCGGGGCUGGGGAGUGAUUGGAUCAGAGCAGUGUUUGUAGAAGAUUGGCCUCCCUGAGCACUGGCAGAGGACAACUUGGAGAGAGUGGGGGAGGAGGACACAGGAACAUUUCCUUACCUGGCAAGAGAAAGUGCACUUCCAGAGAGGACGGUGAUGUCAUCGAUACCACCUGCAGAGAGGGGCCUAAGUCUCACAGAAUGGUCCUGGCUGUCCUAGAACUUGCUCUGUAGAACAGGAUGUCCUUAAACUCCCAGAGAUCCCCCCACACACAUUAUGCUGGGACUAAAGGUAUGUUCUACCACUAUCUGACUGAAAAACUUCUUCUAAAAAACAAUUUAUUUACUUUUAUUUUGUUUGCAUUGAUAUUUUGUCAGCAUGUAUAUCUGUGUGAAGGUGUCAGAUCUUAGCAUUAGAGACAGUUGUGAGCUGCCACGUGGGUGCUGGGAAUUGAACCUGGGUCAUCUAGAGGAGCAGCCAGUGCUCUUAACUGCUGAGCCAUCUCUCUAGUCCCUGAACAAAACCUUCUAAUGUGAAAUUUGUUUUACACAAGAGAGCACAUGUGCAGUGGGCCCAGUCAAAGCUGAUGCUUUCUCCGUGGUGUCUGCUGCAGGCCUGAAAGGAGAAGGAACUCUUUCAGCAUAACUCAGCAACUUAGAGACUCGCUGGGACUAGAACACAGGUCAUUUAAUUCCCAAGAGGAACUUUCUUGCUAGUUUACAUUGUUCUGUAUAUUAGGAUAAUUCUAAAAGCAAAAAUUGUACUGAAGUUUGGUUAAAGUUAAAAAAAAAAACAGCUUUUUUUUUUUUUGACUGGGGUCUCACUAUGUAGCUCUGGCUAGCCUGCACUAAAGGCGUGCACUAUCACUGCUGGCACCAUAUUUUAACUAAUUAACAUGUGUAUACACACCAGCAUCAUGGUGUCCUUGGGAAGGUUUGAGAACAAGGGACCAAAAUCGGGUCGUCAGGCUUGGUGGCCAUACUUUACCUGCUGAGUCAUCUUCCUGCCUGGAAUUUUGUUUGAUUUGAGUCACAACCCCUAAAACAAAUGGAUUUUAACCACAAAUCCUAGUGUUCUUUGGAAGUGUGUGGCGGGGGUUUUUGCAGAAGUUGGGGGAUCAGAGGGGAAAGUGAAGUGUGGGGUUCCUGGCUCCCCCAUCUUAAGACUCCAGGGCCACAUCACCAAUCUCUGGAAACCAUCCCCCUUAUCAGAGGUAUGGGCUGCUCAGGACAGAGCCUGGGUGCUUGCAGGAGAAAUCCUGCCUGGUGUUGGAGCCGAGGAGCUAUGUUCUGUGGCCUCGGGGAUGGCGCCCGGUUCCUACUCUCAGAGCCUCGUCUGUGAGGAGCAGACUACAGUCCUUCUAGUCCUAGCUCAGCCAUGGUGCAGGGGGAGCCUGGGGCAGAGGAAACGGCCCAGAUCUGAUGUUUGCUAGCUCCCAUAUUUUAACCACCAUGCUCAGAUUUCUCAGCUCCAAAGUGCAUGUUUUGCUUAUUUCUCAUUUUCUGUACAGAUUACCACCUUAAGGGAACCCUAGGCCAUGGGGUGCCUGGACCCAUGUCCAGGCCUGUGAUGUCCUGUGGAAAUAAGACUACAAGGUGGAGGCUCAGGGCUGGAGGACUAGAGAGGGAGUCCCUGCUGGAGGCUUCCUGGAGGAGGUUGUGGGCACGGCCAAGCUAGAGGGAUGGGGCGGGGAUGUGCAAGGAGGCCGGUGAGAGGGUAGAACUGCAGAGGUAGAGAGGUCUCAUGAGGAGCUGUCAGUCAAAAGGCACAGGGUCAGGCCAUGGGGGAAUACAGAAUGACUGGCUGUGGAGGACACUGGGGCCAUGUGUCCACAGGUCUGGGAGCAUGACCAGGAAACUGGGUGGGGAGGCAGUUGGAGGCUUCUGACUGAGGAAUCCUGGCCUGGGGGUUGAGUCCCCUGCCUUCUCUUCUUGGGGCUUUCCCUAUGCUUUCCGGGUUCUUCAAAAGGCUUUUCCGUCACUAGCAACUCUUAGUGUUCCCUGGAUGUCACCUGGGAAACCAGGAGAGGCCAGAAGGAAGAGAGAGGGUGGGUUAAGGGGGCUGGAUGUUGAAGUUCUGUCAGGAAUGCAGAAACUGCAUAGUGACUUGUGUUGCCAUGGGAGCAUUGUCUAACAAGUCCCAGGGGCUAAACUGGCUCAGGCUGGCCCUAACGUAGUCCAUUCUCACUGUCUAAGUCAACAGAUUUUUCUCUAAGACCUAUGAUUGGGUCACUGUGUGUGGAUUUGGAAUUAUCUCCACCCGCAGAGAAUCUGAAAGAUAGGUUAAAGGGUAGUAGGUAGCAGGUCAGGUCUUUCUUUAGUUAAACCCCUCUUGUAUUCUUCCUCCUUCCCUUCCCUCUUUCUUCUCUCCAUCCUUCCAGGUACGGAUGAAACCCAUCUUCAGGCUAGGAAGCAUUUUACCACUGGGCUUUAUUCCUGGCCCUGUCUGUCUUGUUUUAUCAUGGUAGAGAAGGCUAAGUCAGCUUUUGGAUUCACUCGGUCAGCAUGUUCUGGAGUUCAGCGAGGUGUUUUCUCAUGCUGUAGGUAUGCAGUUUGCAAGGUAGUCAUGGUUUCUGUUGUAUGUCACAUUCCACAGCACUGGACAGAGGUCCCUCAAGUCUACUGGACCUUUAGUGGGCAGAGUUUUGAGGCUCACGCGACAGUGGUUGUAUGGGUAGAUGGGCUCUAUACCACUUUGGGUUUGAGAGUGUUUCGUUUGCACUAUUGACGAGUAUUGCAUUUUUUCCCUAUUGCUUUAUUUUUCAAAUUACAUUUAUUUCUAUGUGUGUAUAUGUGUCUGAGAGAAGGCACAUGUACCAUGGGACUUGUGGAAUUAGUUCUCCUUUUCUGCCAUGUAGACCCUUCUUGGCAGGCAGGCAUCUUUACCCGCUGUACCCACUGAGCCAUCCUGGCAACCCUGCUAUUAUUUCUUUUCUGUUCAGUUCCUGGCUGUCCUAGAACUCACUCUGUAGACCAGGCUGGCCUCG
Long non-coding RNA from Arvicola amphibius (Eurasian water vole), 3773 nucleotides. RefSeq lists it as uncharacterized. The transcript has 3 exons. The record is from RefSeq and is a predicted model, not a curated record. NCBI's taxonomy places the organism in Eukaryota, Metazoa, Chordata, Mammalia, Rodentia, Cricetidae.